Coregonus clupeaformis (lake whitefish) is the source of this 489-nucleotide long non-coding RNA. RefSeq lists it as uncharacterized. The record is from RefSeq and is a predicted model, not a curated record. Lineage: Eukaryota; Metazoa; Chordata; Actinopteri; Salmoniformes; Salmonidae. The transcript has 3 exons.
GUUUUCAGAGUAUUUUCUGUGCCUACCUAGCUCAAAUUCAAAAUGUCGGAUUAAAACAACACUAUCGCGUCCAUAAAGUGGCCAUUGGAUUUAAAACAUUUCGGAUUGACUUCAUGUGUUAUCUGGAGUCAUUCCAUUGCCCUGCUGAAAAAUACCCCAAAGCGGGGGCAUUUUGGGUACACAAGCAUGAGGGAGGGGACACACCUUGAGGUUAUGGAGCACAACAAGAUUGUGGGCCUGAAACCAACAAGGGACACUGAAAGGAGACGUGCAGUACCAGCAAACCUUCUGCAAGAGGACCAAACAGUCGGUGUUUAAGAAGCCCUACACCACUUUCGGCAGUCUUAUCCAGCUGGCCGUUCACCGCAGACAGGACAAGCCCAUCGCCAUGAGCACAAAGAGUCUCAGCUUCCGCAGCCAACCAUGAUAAAGGACUAUGGCUGCAUUUACACAGGCAGCCCAAUUCUGAUAUUGUUAUCACUAAAUGGU